CUACAAGAUCAUGACCUGAGCCGACCUGAGCCGAAGUCAGACACUUAACCGACUGAGCCCCCCAGGUGCCCCUGAAUACUUUUUAAAAAAUCAACUCGCUUUUCAAAAACGAAGGCUGUUUUGGAAGGACGAUUGAACAUAGACAGGAAGUGGGAAGUACUCACACCGAACCCAGGGCCAUGUUCAAGUGCAGGUAGGCACGUUACCUGCUAAGCCUGUUCUUUCAAAGUGGGGAGAUUAGUAGGUCUUAGGGGGGCACGAAGGACGUACAAACAACAAAAAGACUUUCCCUUUGGCCUAAUCGGGACUGAAAGAUCAUUGAAAGGGGACUCACAUGAUCUGCGAGUCACUGUUACGUGAUACGUGCCCCUCCUGAAUCAUCUUCCCUCCUCUCCUGCAGCUUGGGACUUAAAUAUCACCUCCCAGUGAGGCCUCUCCCAGCCCCUCAUCUAAGUGGGACCAGCCCUGCCUUCCCAUUUCCCAAUUUCCCAUCACUCCUUUAUUUUUCUCUUUAGCACUGAACACCAGCAGAUAUCCUACUCACUGUAUUUUCCUUGCCUUCUGUCUGUCACCCCACCUAGAGUGCACGCUCUUAAUGGACCAGCACUACCAGGAAAGGACCUGGAACCUAGGAGGCAUUCAGUAAAUACCCGCCGAACGAAUCGACCGUCUCCAAGGGCCGAAAGAACGGAGCCUUUGCCAAGAAAAGAGGCUGAAUUCUCAGGCCCUCCACUUCAGAUCGAAUGGUGCUGCUUUACCAGGGAAAGAAAGCAGCGGUCGAGAGUGGAAAUCUCCACUCAGGGACGGGCCUCCUCUCUGUGCUAGAAUCAGGAGAACGCCACAGGAAAGGAGGCUGCCCAAGGGUCGGGAGGUCCGGUCACUGAGUUCCUACAUGACACUGGCCGACCCUCAGCGCUUCCGUUUCCUCAUCUCCAUCGGCCGAGAACAGAAAUUGCAGCACCACACUUCUCAGUGCCCAUCACCGAGGCCCGUCCAGAUCGCCACUUCCUUAGAGCCACGAUGAUGGAUUCCACCAAGGAAAUUUCCACUGAACCGGGUCACUGAAAAUCAGCCCCACGACCCCCUACUCCCACCCACCCCGAUGGAUCCAGCAACACCUGAUGCUAAACCUAAUUCUAGAUUUUUAAGUUACAUGAGCUAACGCAUUCUCUUUUUUGCUUCCGCAGUAUGAAUCGGGGCUUUGUCAUUCGUAACUCAAAGGGUCCUAAUUCACAGAUUCUUUCCUUUUCCCAAAAUGAGGACCAAAAAAGGCUUUGGCUAGUAUGAGAGUGAGGACGUCUGGGGCUUUGCUUUUGUUUUCGUUUGAGCCACCCAAACAGGAGGCCUAGAAUUCCGAGAAAGGACACCAGCUUCUUCAAAUGCAGAAGACUGGGAGACACCUGCUGAGGGGUCUUUGUGAUAAGAUAGCCUCAGCUUUGGACAAGUAGAGCCGAAAAGGGGGCAAGUUGUCUGGAAUAUCUUUUUAUUCGCCUCAAAAUGUAGUUUUCGUGAAUGCUUUUUCCUUAGUUUCUUAGGGCGCGGAAUCCAGCUUGGUUGAAUUUUGUUUAAACACAUUGGCAUAAAUCAUAAAUGCCCUUGGGAAAGAACAUUAACCAGCAACCAGCAACAUUAACAUCCCUCCACCCCCACCCGUCUCCUCCAGUUAAAUGGACUGGAACCUCUCCACCUUGUCCCCAAAGGAAACUUCCCUGCCUGUCCUAGAACAUUUCAGAAUUGGGCUCCUGCUGUAAGUUUUAACAUAGCCUCACCACAGCUCAGCCUCCUGGCCGGGCCCCUCCACAGUGAGAGGAAGGCAGGGACCUUGGCAUGGGAACUAACAGCUCUGGGCAUUUCCGGAGUCUGGCUCUUGAAGUUUUUUUCCUGGGGCAAAUUCUUCCCUUCCCUUCCCGCCUCCCCAUUCAGGAACCUCAGCGGUGGGAACAUAGCAAAGGCUUUGGUACCGAACAGAUCCGGGGACAAAACCUAGUCUGUCACAUUCUUGCUGUUUCAUCAUGGACAAGUUGCUUAACCUCUCUGAGCCUCAACUUCCUGCACAACGGGGAUGAUGAUACCACCCGCUAUGGAGGGCUGUUUCGGAGAAUUCGACAUUCUAAUGCUUGCACAGCCUGACAUAGUCAGUGUCAACGGGAGCACUUGUAUUAGUAGUCGUGGCAUUCUCACGAUUUUCGUUCCUCUGCGUGGAUGCACAUCUUCCUGUGGGUUCCGCUGGGUUCAAAUCCCAGCUCUGCCGAAUGAGAGCUCUGUGACCAGGAACAAGAUUGGCUCAGGGCAGAAAUGAAGAAGGACAGAGGGGAGAGAGAGAGACACAGAGAGACGGAGACUGAUGGCCAGCAACUUCCGCAGCAUUCGGCCACCCCGGUUUGAGACUCUCCAUUUUCCGCCUGGUCACCCUUGGAGAUCUAUCUGCCCCAUUCUUUCAAAAGCGAGGGAUUGAUCUUUGUUCCCCAGGAGGCAUCUGAGGUCCCGGAGUCUACAGACAGGGACUGAGAUGUGACAGAGGCUCUGACCACCGGCUCCAUGGUACUUUGUUACCCGGCACCCGAACAGACUAAGACAAUUGUCACUCACUGCUCGGAAUGCUUCUCCUUCGGCACAUUUGCCACAAGUCUGACGACUUAAGUGUGUGAUAGUUUCUAUAACAGGUAACGGUUUGAGAAAUGGGACCGUGCUUUCCUCUUUGCCUCUUUGGGUAAACGGUCCUUCCCCUUGGUCCUCAGCUAUCCAUCUGCCUGGGGAAGAUGUGCAUCCAUACAGAGGACAAAAAGCAGGAUCGUGGCGAUAUUCGGUUGCUUACAAAUCAAAACAGAUUUUGCCACAAGACAGUAGACUUCAAGGCCACCACAGUGAGAAAACAUUUAUUGAAUGUCCUUUAGGUACCAACUAGCAUAGCAAAGGCACAGUACUUUCCCAGACUGUCAGGAGAAUAGAGGUCUCCCUUUACCUAUGCCCCCAGGCUUGCUCCCUACGCAGAAGGAGCACGCGCACGGAUGAAGGACUUCAUCUCAGCUUCAUUCUCAGCUUCAGCCCAGCGAGUGCAGAGGCACCUAGGAGGGUGGUGGCACAGGGUAUGGACACAGGGGCUAUUGGGGCUCAAAUCCCAGCUCCGCCAUCCAAGAGCUCUGUGACCAGGAACAAAUUAUUUCACUUCUCCGUGCCUCGGUCUCCUCAUCUAUAAAACGGGACACGUCGCUUCUCGGCCUUUUGGCUAAGAUCAAGUGUAUAAAACAGGACACGGGCUACUUCCUCACAGUGUUGCUAGGCAUGCAUAUCUAAUGAGUUACUGCUUAGUAUAGACUCUGAUAUAUAAUGAUUCUAAGUAUCAGCUACUUCUUUAUUAUUUAUUUACUUAUUAUAUUUCUUUGUUUAAUGUAAGUAGAGCCAGCUCCAAAGGCAGAGCUUUGCACUGAUCCUCUGGGGGCUGGAGGAGGAAGUCGCGGGGAGGCCACUGCCCACCAGUUUAAUUUGGGAGACCAUGAAAAUGCUGUAAGUUGCAAGGAGGGAAGCCUUCCCCAGCGUUGCACUUUCGCUGGCUACACGAGUCCUCCCGUGGCCGGGAUGGGACUCGGGAUGUUCCUUUUCAUGGGGGAGACGCUUUGUUAGGGUCGUGGGCAGCCCCGCAGGGCCCAGAUGCGGUGGAGGCGAGGGCUCUGAGCCAGGGAAGGGACAAGUCAGCCAGGCAGGGCUCGGGGCCUAGACCGUGCGUGCUUCCAGCCGCCAGCUUCAGCCUCAAGGGUCAGAAGGACCAGUAGUGAUCACCGGCAACAGACGUGGCUGGAGACCUCGCCUCCCCACCUCCGCCUAGGAGCCUCGGGGACUCUCCUGGGACUCCAGACCCCGUGCCACCUUAGGGGGGCUGAGGAUGGAGAAGGAAAUCUGAGAGCGAGCAUGACCUAAAGACCUAAAGUAGUGGAUCAGAUUCAAUUGACCAGAUUAGACUAAGUCUAGCGUUCUUCCUCGUUGCCCCGGGACUGGGGUUUGUGAGAAAUCUCAGCUCAGUUACAGGAUACAAAGAAAGGACACUUUUUUCUGCAGAGGCACGUGAUAGCGUGGCCUAAGAUGCAGCCUCAACGUCAGUCCCCCAGGAUGCCGCUCCUGGGGGCGGAAUCGCACCUGUCGGAACGGUGGGAGGCGUUCCAUAAACACCCCCUCGAUCAGUGAGGGUGCCAUUCAAUCCUGACUCUGACCGGCGACCAACAGGUGGCCCGUGUCUGGGAGUGGGGGAGGAGGAACUCUUUUCUCGGCUUCCUUGGGGGAAGGGGGUAGAGGGGGGUCCCGCCGCCUGGCCUUCACCCUCCUCUUCAGCGCGAGCGGGCCCACCGACUUGUCUCUAAGGAGGGAGGGAAAGUGACAAAAGUGACGCGACGCCACCUCCACCAUUGGGGACUCAACCCUACCCACGUGGGCGCAUACACACGUGCACAGCCCUAAGCACGCCCACGCGCGCCCGCACGCCCACGCGCAUGCGCACCUGCACCCGCACGCACGCCCACGGGCAGGCGCACGCACGCGCCCUCCUGGCCGGCUCGCUGCGCUGGAGACGGGGGACGCCGUGGCGGGAAACGGAGGGCCACGCGCCCCAGAAGCGAGUCCCGCCCGCACCGCCGAGCGAACUGGGAGGCAGAUCCUGCCCCUGAACCUUGAGACGCCCGGAGCCCCGCCGACACCUCGACGCGCCUGUGACGAGGCCUGAAGCCGAGGAUCCGGCCGCCGCGCCUGCACCCCGACCCGCAGAAACUGGCUCUACCAAGAGGUGGCGUAACCUCGCGAGGAAGCCAGACGAGACGGAUUCAGACCCAUCUCUGCGGUUUACCACCUGUGUGAUUUCAGGCAA
Molecule: long non-coding RNA, 4852 nt
Organism: Felis catus (domestic cat)
Lineage: Eukaryota; Metazoa; Chordata; Mammalia; Carnivora; Felidae
Exons: 5
Source: RefSeq, a predicted model, not a curated record